Molecule: ribosomal RNA, 336 nt
Filed under: uncultured Bacillota bacterium
Lineage: Bacteria; Bacillati; Bacillota
Description: bacterial SSU rRNA
Rfam family: Bacterial small subunit ribosomal RNA
Source: RNAcentral
GACGAACGCUGGCGGCGUGCCUAAUACAUGCAAGUCGAGCGAACGUUUUAAGAAGCUUGCUUCUUAAAACGUUAGCGGCGGACGGGUGAGUAACACGUGGGCAACCUGCCCUGCAGAUGGGGAUAACUCCGGGAAACCGGGCUAAUACCGAAUAAUCAGUUCCUCCGCAUGGAGGAACUCUGAAAGACGGUUUCGGCUGUCACUGCAGGAUGGGCCCGCGGCGCAUUAGCUAGUUGGUGGGGUAAUGGCCUACCAAGGCGACGAUGCGUAGCCGACCUGAGAGGGUGAUCGGCCACACUGGGACUGAGACACGGCCCAGACUCCUACGGGUGGCAG